This 253-nucleotide ribosomal RNA is filed under the name uncultured bacterium. Its description in RNAcentral is "partial 16S ribosomal RNA". It matches the Rfam family "Bacterial small subunit ribosomal RNA", at positions 524 to 776 of the family's 1533-position model. The record is from RNAcentral.
UACGUAGGGUGCGAGCGUUGUCCGGAAUUAUUGGGCGUAAAGAGCUCGUAGGCGGUUUGUUGCGUCUAUCGUGAAAACCUGCGGCUUAACUGUGGGCUUGCGGUGGAUACGGGCAGACUUGAGUUCGGUAGGGGAGACUGGAAUUCCUGGUGUAGCGGUGAAAUGCGCAGAUAUCAGGAGGAACACCGAUGGCGAAGGCAGGUCUCUGGGCCGAUACUGACGCUGAGGAGCGAAAGCGUGGGGAGCGAACAGG